This 429-nucleotide ribosomal RNA is filed under the name Gemmatimonadota bacterium. RNAcentral describes it as "Gemmatimonadetes bacterium partial 16S ribosomal RNA". It matches the Rfam family "Bacterial small subunit ribosomal RNA", at positions 355 to 776 of the family's 1533-position model. Lineage: Bacteria; Pseudomonadati; Gemmatimonadota. The record is from RNAcentral.
UAGGGAAUCUUCGGCAAUGGACGAAAGUCUGACCGAGCAACGCCGCGUGAGUGAAGAAGGUUUUCGGAUCGUAAAACUCUGUUGUUAGAGAAGAACAAGGACGUUAGUAACUGAACGUCCCCUGACGGUAUCUAACCAGAAAGCCAGGGCUAACUACGUGCCAGCAGCCGCGGUAAUACGUAGGUGGCAAGCGUUGUCCGGAUUUAUUGGGCGUAAAGCGAGCGCAGGCGGUUUCUUAAGUCUGAUGUGAAAGCCCCCGGCUCAACCGGGGAGGGUCAUUGGAAACUGGGAGACUUGAGUGCAGAAGAGGGGAGUGGAAUUCCAUGUGUAGCGGUGAAAUGCGUAGAUAUAUGGAGGAACACCAGUGGCGAAGGCGGCUCUCUGGUCUGUAACUGACGCUGAGGCUCGAAAGCGUGGGGAGCAAACAGG